RNAcentral lists this transfer RNA (75 nucleotides) under Thermoplasmata archaeon. RNAcentral describes it as "tRNA-Ile". It matches the Rfam family "tRNA". From Rfam's summary of the family: Transfer RNA (tRNA) molecules are approximately 80 nucleotides in length. Their secondary structure includes four short double-helical elements and three loops (D, anti-codon, and T loops). Lineage: Archaea; Methanobacteriati; Thermoplasmatota; Thermoplasmata. The record is from RNAcentral. RNAcentral also lists the same sequence under 2 other names.
GGGGCCGUAGCUUAGCUAGGUCGGAGCGCCCGGCUGAUAACCGGGAGGUCGCCGGUUCGAAUCCGGCCGGCCCCA